UUGCUAUUUUGAGGGGAUACAUACCUUCCUUGCAUUUUUUUCAACUUCUUGAAGAGAAUGAGAUGCUCUAUAUUUCAUUUUAUUUACUCUUAGGUGGGUAUCUUGUACCCCUAAUUCUACUGUCGGACACUUGUCCAUUUUUACCUCUCGUCUCACUUUUUCUUUUCUUUCGAGGUUCCGACGUGGGCACUUGCCCCUUUUUAUUUCCUCGUCUCUAUUUUUUUAGAGCACUCAUCUCUUGAGAUAAUAUAGCAAGUAGUAGUAACAAGAUAACUUGAGCAUUUAUUUUAUAGGGGAAAAAUAGAAAUAUUUUUGGCUAUUCUCUCCCGGAUUAGAAGUAGAAUAUUUUUGGGUGGUUCUGGAGAUGGAAAUGGGUGGAUAUAUGUGGAUGGUACUUCCGGAGUCGAAGCAGCAUGUGUGAGUGAACGUGCAAGUGAAAUCUUGAUUUAACCACAUGACAAGCUCCUAAGGGUCUACACAGUUUGACCACACUCAAUGCUCAUAAGCAGUAAAGUAAAUAUGUGGCUCAAAGUCUAGUAAGCAUGUAUAUAUGGCUGUGAUAGGAAUUUAAACUCUCAUCAUACAGCAACUCAUCAUGCAAUAUUUUAAAGAUUUUCAAAGAUAAAAUUCUCCACAAUUCUAGCAUCUCUAGGAACAGAUAAACAGCAGCUCAACCUUCCCAUAUCAUAUCCGUUAACAACAGAUCAAGUUUUCUUCCCACAAGUUUAGGUUUAGAGCAAGCUUUAAAUUAUAAUAGUUAUGUCUAAACUUGAGAGAGAACUUCAAAUUUUAAAAAUUAGGCAGAGCAACUAUUCAUCAUAUCCAUGCUAGAGUUUUAUUAUUAAGUUUCAGAUUAGCAUAGCCACUUUAUUUAUUUAUUAAACAACCUAAGCAAAAGAUAUAUAUAUAUAUAAGCACAAAAUCUUUAUUUGGUUUUCCAUAGUUAUGUAUAUUUAUAUUUUAAUAUAGUACAAGUAUAAAGAUAGAUAGAAAUACUUAGCGGGAUAAAUGGGGGUGCUCUCUCCCAAGCUGAAUUUUGACGUAAUUUCUUCUGAUGUAGCUAGCAGGUGGCAGAGGUGUAUUUGAAAGUCGGCAGUAUCUUGACAGCGAUUAGAAUAUCCUCCGUCUACUAGUCUUCUUGAUUCUUAAAUUUUGUGGAGCUCAAAUAGACAACAAAGCUUUGUGGAACUGAUUAAGUGUUAGCAUAAAUAUCUAGCCUUUAUCAUGUUGAGUCUCCUCAAAAAAUAUUACUCUCUAUAUUUUUUUAUAUUUUCGUUUUAUAAAGCAGAAAAGAAAUAUUUAUUUUAUUUUUAUGCCACCACAAUGAAUGUACUUAUGGGUUUUAUGCCACUCAUAUACUCACAUGGGGCUUACUGUAUUUUAACUUUUUUUAUUUUCUUUUUAGGAUAGUACGAAGAUGAUUAACUAAGCAAACUAUUUUAAAUAAUUGAAAGGGAAAAAGAUAACUACCAAUUUACCUCUUGGCAAGGCGUUCGGUGUUUUUAAGUCCUCCGAACGGGACUCUCCGUUUUCUCUAUUGUCCUGGGAUUCGUUGGGUGGCGCAGUCGGUACUUCCAGCAGCGCCUCCUCUUCAUGUAUGGUUAUCUUCUCUCUCCACACCUGACUCGGUGCUACGGUCUUCUCAGGAUAGUUCUGUUUAAACUGAAUGUCUUUUAACUUUACCAUUUCUCCUUCAUAGUCUGCCCAUCUGUUCUUGAUGAUUUCUCUCCUCUGGUUGCGGUUGCGUCGUUUUUUGACAUGCUUAGAGUCUUCAACGAUAUAGUUAGGGUCAGUAAAAUAGCGGCGUACCUUCUCUGAGGGGAAGUGCAUAUACACUUCUCCGGUUCCAAUAAAGAUAAUUGCUUUAACAGUGCUGAGGAACGGUCUUCCAAGGAUGAUGGGUGGAUCGUAUUCGUCUUCUCCCAUGACAAUAACCUGAAAGUCUAUGUAGACAAAAUGAUCGUCUAUUUUGAUAGGGACAUCAGUUACUAUUCCUUUAACCUCUUGGAAUGUCUGAUCUACCAUCUGGAGCUGAAUGUAUGUUGGUUUUAGAACAAGAGCCAAUAGGUCACUGCGGCCAUUAUGUUGACCCCCGAUCUGGUGUCACAAGUCGUCUUGUAGAAGUUGUAUCCAUUUAUGGAGUAGUAGAUGCUUGGCAUUCCUGGGUCGUCCUUCUUAGUCCGAAAUGGUGACUUAAGCUGAUGAUUUUGGCCUCCAUGAACUGCAGUGACCAUCUUAGCUGACUCGGUCCACACUUGCUUGUUCCUGUUCCUCCUGUUGGUCCUCUUCCAUGAUUCACGUCUGGAUUGAUCUGGGAUUUGUGUAGUCUUGUUCUUGAAGGAAAAUGUCUCCUUCUUCCCUUUGAUGUAGAAACUGAUCUUGGCAGCACUAGCGUAGAUGACAGCUCCCGAGGUGUUUAAGAAUGGCCUCCCUAAGAUGAUGGGUGCCCUCUCAUCAUUACCGGUCUCUAUCACCACGAAGUCUGCUGGGGCAUAUAAGGUACCAACUCGGACACAAAGGUUCCUCAAUAUUCCUUUUGGAAAACUUAUCGUCUGAUCUGCAAACUGCAAACACAGGGUUGUUUCUAAUAAAGGAUAUGUAAAGAAUUUUUCAUAGAGUACCCUGGGCAUAAUGUUGACACUAGAGCCAAAGUCGCAGAGUGCCUCUAACAAGUCCACCAUGCCGAUGGAGAUCAGGAUGACGGGGCAUCCUGGAUCGCCUCUCUUGACCGGCAGAAGGUUAGUAGUAACUUCAGUGACGGGGUUACUCCAAUUACCUGCAUCAAACAUGUGUACAAGAUUUGCAGAUUCUAAUCCUUCUGGUUGUGAUGGUAUAUCGGGGUUAGUAGUAGGAACAGAAGCAGCUAUUUGAUUUAAGUGUGAUUCAAUCAUUUUAUUAAAGCUAAUUUGAUUCUUGAUGGCUGUAGAGAAAUUAUUCAUUCUAUUAUUUAUAUUUUCUAGCAUUUUAUCAUUAGAUGCCAAUUUCUUAGAUAGGUUAUCCAUUAGCUUUCCUUGAUUAGACACUAACUCUCUCAGAGGUGGAAAAUUGCGAAUAAUUAGAAGAACAAUUAGGGAAUUACCAAGAAUCCUCUUGACAGAUCCGGAAACCAAUUGAAGAUUGACUCCUUGUAGUUCUAAUCCUAUGUAGCUAUGCUAAUCUAGAUAUCUAAUUGAUGUGGUGGCUCUAGGCUUGAUCAGAGGCUUCUUCUCCCUUGAUGAAUAAUGAAUUAGGGUUGAGAGGUCCCCUCCUCCAGGGGCUAGGGGGUCUGGUUUUAUAGUCCUUCCAAGUGAAUAUGGGUCGUCGGAUCAAGCCAACAUUGAUUGAACGGUUAUCAUUGAUCCUUUAGGUUGGUGGAGCGUAAUCCCGAAAGAGAGUCCUGAUUGGACACCAACACGGGGCGGGCGCCCUAGUCCCUAGGGCGGGCGCCCUAGGCCAGGCCCCGUUCUGCCUCCGCUUCGUUCUCGUCGCUUCUAGAGUCUUCUAGAUGUAAGAUAAUUGCACGGCACGUUAAUAUUUCUAUGUAAUCCCGACGUGUGGGCCUUUCUUCCGUAUUUCCUGAUAACCCCCUGCAGAAAUAGACAAACACCAAAACUCGUGGAAUUCUGUCAGAUAAAACCCUAAGUCUGGAUGUUGAUUUCAUUUGGAUCCUUUUCUUUGUUUAUUUGAUAAUUAAAUUUGAUACUUAAGGACCGUCAACAUCCUCCAUAUUUCCUGAUAACCCCCUACAGAAAUAGACAAACACCAAGACUUGUGGAAUUCUGUCAGAUAAAACCCUAAGUCUGGGUGUUGGUUACAUUUGGGUCCUUUUCUUUAUUUAUUUGAUAAUUAGAUUUGAUACUUAAGGAUCGUCAACAACUCCCCCAAGCUUACCUCUUGCUCGUCCCUGAGCAACGAUAGACUUAGUGAUGGAUCAGAAAUUGUUGCAAUGCCUUAGAAAGUUGACGGUACACAUUCUUUCAAAUAAGGUCUUAUCUCUGGGUUUGGGUAAACUAUUAAGAUUUGAACUUACUCAUAUUACCAUCCACUGUUGGGUAUUCUUAACAUCAUUACCAAAAGUAGACUAAGUUCUAAAUCUAGCAACGGUGCCAAAAAUGCCAAACCUAUCCCUCACACCACUUAAGCCAAGUUGUCAUCCCUAGCAUGACAUCAGAGACGCGGUAUUGAAAUAUGCAAUUGCUCUUCUAAAUAAAUAAUGAAUGGGAUUUGCAAGCGCACAGAUUAAUACUGAUGUAGCAUUUUAACCGGGAAGUAUUCCAGGUAUCGUUAUUUAUAUUUUUACCACUGGGAAGGGAUUAGAAAUCAUCACUAAUGAUUACAGAAUAGAAUAUGAGAUUGAGCAUCUAUCAUUGCAUGUAUAAUUGAGAACAUUAUAUCUAACUCUUCAUACAGGGAUAAGUGUCACAUAAAAGAUGUAUGAAAUAAUAAUAGUGACAAGGAUAACUAAUCUGAUCUAGCCACAUAAUAAAUAUGAUAAGCACCUCAAUAAGAUACUCUAGAAAGUCAUUAGCAUGGUAUUAGAACGAACUACAAGAAUAUUCCCUAAGUUAUUCUCAACUAUAUAGUCUAGCAUUAUCAUAAUUAGUGCAACCAUACUUAGCAAUCAUUGCGAGACAAGACUACGCCCAUGCAUAGUGAUAUUAGCAAGGAAUAUGAGAAACAUAGCAAUCACUCCCCUGUAAUAAUGUUGCUCUGCCAGCCCAAUACACGAGAGGGGGACUAUAUAAGAAUCAAUGAAGCUGUCACUAUCACGAACCACCCCACGAUCUGGCAUAUUGGGUACAAUCGCAGAUAAAUACGGUAUAAGCACCACGCCUACACAAUAUCUAUCAUUUACCCAUGGAUCCGAUGGAUAAACGCUAUACGAUCCUAAGCAUGUAUAUAGAUCGUAUCUAACUAAGCCAAGUACAUAACUAUGAUAAACUAAGAACAAUAUAAUCUUGAAUAUAAGCAAGUAGAGCGAAGUCAUAAGCAAUAUAUUGAAGUAGAACAAAGUCAUAUUCAUAAUAUUGAAGAACAAAGAUAAUUAGAAAACAAUUAGAAACACAAUUAGAGAAUUACCAAGAAUCCUCUUGACAGAUCCGGAAACCAAUCGAAGAUUGACUCCUUCUAGUUCUAAUCCUAUGUAGCUAUGCUAAUCUAGAUGUCUAAUUGAUGUGGUGGCUCUAAUCUGGAUCAGAGGCUUCUUCUCCCUUGAUGGAACAAUGAAUUAGGGUUGCGAGGCUCUCUCCUCCAGGGGCCAGGGGGUCUGGUUUUAUAGUCCCUUCAAGUGAAUAUGGGCCCUUGGAUCAAACCGACAUAGAUUGUAUGGUUUAGAUUCAUCCUUUAGGUCGGUGGAGACUUCCCGCAAAGCAGAGUCCUGUUUGGACUCCUGAGGUGGGCGGGCGCCCAGUAGGACAGGGCGGGCGCCCUGCCUCUGGCCCCGUUUCGCCUCCGCUUCGGUCUCGUGGCUUCUGGAGUCUUCUAGAUGUAAGAUAAUUGCGCAGCACGUUAAUAUCUUUACGUAAUCCUGACGUGUGGGCCUUUCUUCCGUAUUUCCUGAUAACCCCCUGCAGAAAUAGACAAACACCAAAACUCGUGGAAUUCUGUCAGAUAAAACCCUAAGUCUGGAUGUGGAUUUUAUUUGGAUCCUUUUCUUUACUUAUUUGAUAAUUAAAUUUGAUACUUAAGGACCGUCAACAAACUCCCCCAAGCUUACCUCUUGCUCGUCCCUGAGCAAGGAUAGACUUAGCUAUGGAUCAUAAGUUGUUGCAAUAUCUUUUUAAAAAUUUUGACGGUACACAUGCUUUUAAAUAAGAUCUCAUCUCUGAGUUAGAGUAAACUGUCAAGACUUAAAACUUACUUACUUUACCUCCACCAUGGGACUUGUAACUGUCACUUCUGUCUUGAGUGGUUAAAAGAUAGAACAGUCUAGCCAAGUGCCAUGUCUCUUAUUCUUGAUCAGCUAUAGCUCUGGGGUUUUUGCAGAUUUUCAAAUAAAACUCAGAGAUUCCUUGUAUGAUUCUCUCAGGUCUCUCUUUUGUGGUAUUUUUGGAUCCUUACCAAGGCAGUGAUGGUAUAUGCCUUCUCUCAAGAUAUGUGGUAUUUGUGGUAUGAGGCAUAGUGACAUUGCCUUCUCUCUCACCCUACUCUAAUAAGGCUUUAAUAUCUGGAGCUCAUAGGUGGGAGAUAAAGUAUACAUACUUACAAGACAUUUAUUGCAUAGUCAAACCAUGGAUCCAAAGUAACAAGUCAAUAAGUUUAAUCAAGAUAUGCAUGUGUGGCGAAUGAAUGGUAUAUGGUGAUGAUGGUGAUAACAAUGGUGAAAACAAUGGUGAAAACAAUGGUGAUGGAAGUCUAAUUCUACUUUUGCUCUUUGAGGGGAUACAUACCUUCCUUGCUUUUGAAACUUUAUGAGGAGAAUGAGAUGCUCUUCUUUUUCUUGUCUCUCAGGUGGGUAUCUUGCACCCCUAAUUCUACUGUCGGACACUUGUCCAUUUUUACCUCUCGUCUCACUUUUUCUUUUCUUUCGAGGUUCCGAGCACUUGCUCCUUUCCUCGUAUUAUUUUUUUAGAGCAUUCAUCUCUUGAGAUAAUAUAGCAAGUGGUAGUAACAAGAUAACUUGAGCAUUUAUUUCACAAGGGGAAAACAGAAAUAUUUUUGGUUAUUCUCUCCCGGAUUAGGAGUAGAAUAUUUUCAGGUGGUUCUGGAGAUGGAAUGGAUGGAUAUAUGUGGAUGGUACUUCCAGAGUAGAAGUAGCAUAUAUGAGUGAACGUGCAAGUGAAAUCUUGAUUUAACCACAUGACAAGCUCCUAAGGGUCUACACAGCUUGACCACACUCAAUGCUCGUAAGCAGUAAAUAGUAAAUGCGUGGCUCAAAGUCUAGCAAGCAUGUAUAUAUGGUUGUGGUAGGAAUUUAAACUCUCAUCAUACAGGAACUCAUCAUGCAACAUUUUAAAAAUUUUCAAGAUAAAAUUCUCUAGAAUUCUAGCAUCUCUAGGAAUAGAUAAACAGCAGCUCAGCCUUCCCAUAUCUUAUCCGUUAACAACUUAAACUUCAGAUCAAGUUUUCAUCCCACAAGUUUAGGUCUAGAGCAAGCUUUAAAUUAUAACAGUUAUAUCUAAACUUGAGAGAGAACUUAAAAUUUGCAAAUUAGGCAGAGCAACUAUUUAUCAUAUCCAUGCUUAAAUUUAUUUAGAUACAGAUUAGCAUAGCCACUUUAUUUAUUUAUUAAACACACUAAGCAAAAGAUAUAUAUAUAAGCAUAAAAUCUUUAUUUGGUUUUCCCAAAGUUUAUGUGUAUUUUAAUAUUCUAAAAUAAUAUAAGUAUAAAGAUAGAUAGAAAUACUUAUCGGGAUAAAUGGGGGUGCUCUCCCCCAAGCUGAAUUUUGACGUAAUUUCUCUUGAUGUAGCUAACAGGUGGCAGAGGUGUAUUUGAAAGUCAGCAGCAUUCUGACAGCGAUUAGAAUGUCCUCCGUCUGCUAGUCUUCUUGAUUCUUAAAUUCUGUGGAGCUCAGAUAGACAACAAAGCUUGUGGAACUAAUUAAGUGUUAGCAUUAAAUAUCUAUCCUUUAUUCAUCUUGAGACUCCUUGAUAAAUAUUACUCCCUAUUUUUAUAUUUUUGUUUUAUAAAGCAGAAAAAAUAUUUAUUUUAUUUUUAUGCCACCACAGUGAAUGUACUUAUGCGUUUUAUGCCACUCGUAUACUCACAUGGGGCUUACUGUUUUUUCACAUUUUUAUUUUCUUUUUAGGAUAAUACGAACAUGAUUAACUAAGUAAACUAUUUUAAAUAAUUGAAAGGGAAAAGAUAACUACCAAGUUUACCUCUUGGCAAGGCGUUCGGUGUUUUUAAGUCCUCCGAACGGGACUCUCCAAUUUCUUAAUCGUCCUGAGGUUCGUUGGGUGGCGUAGUCGGUACUUCCGGCAGCAUCUCCUCUUCUUGUAUAGUUAUCUUCAUUUUCCACACCUGACUUGGUGCUUCAAUCUCCUCGGGAUAAUUCUCUUUAAACUCUACGUCUUCUGAUCUUACAACUUCUCCUUCAUAGUCUGCCCAUCCGUCCUUGAUGAUCUGCCUCCUCUAGUUGCGGUUGCGUCUCUUUCUGACCUGCUUAGAUUCUUCAACGAUAUAGUUAGGGUCAGUAAAAUAACGGCGUACCUUCUCUGAGGGGAAGUGCAUAUGGACUUCUCCGGUUCCAAUGUAGAUAAUCGCUUUAACGGUGCUGAGGAACUGUCUUCCAAGGAUGAUGGGUGGAUCAUACUCGUCUUCUCCCAUGUCAACAACUUGAAAGUCUGUGUAGACAAAGUGAUCGUCUAUUUUGACUGGGACAUCAGAUACUGUUCCUUUAACUUCUCGAAAUGUCUGAUCUGCCAUCUGGAGCUGAAUGUAUGUUGGUCUUAGUGGCAUGGUCCCGAACAAGAGCCGAUAGGUGACUGCGGCCAUUAUGUUGACGCCCGAUCCGGUGUCGCAAAUCGUCUUGUAGAAGUUGUAUCCAUUUAUGGAGCAGUAGAUGCUUGGCAUUCCUGGGUCGUCCUUCUUGGUCAAAAACGGUGACUUAAGUUGGUGAUCUUGGCCUCCAUGGACUACAGUGACCAUCUUAGCUGACUCGGUCCACACUUGCUUGUUCCUGUUUCUCCUGUUGGUCCUCUUCCUUGAUUUACGUCUGGAUUGAUUUGGAAUUUGUGUAGUCUUGUUUUUGAAGAAAAAUGUCUCCUUCUUCCCUUUGAUGUAGAAACUGAUCUUGGCAGCACUGGCGUAGAUGAUAGCUCCCGUGGUGUUCAAGAAUGGCCUCCCUAAGAUGAUAGGUGCUCUCUCAUCAUUUCCGGUCUCUACCACUACGAAGUCUGCUGGGGCAUAUAAGGUACCAACUCGGACACAAAGGUUCUUCACUAUUCCUUUUGGAAAUGUUAUCGUCUGAUCUGCAAACUGCAAACACAUGGUUGUUUCUAAUAAAGGAUAUAUAAAGAAUUUUUCAUAGAGUACCCUGGGUAUAAUGUUGACGCUGGAGCCAAAGUCACAGAGUGCUUCUGGGACAUCCACCAUGCCGAUGGAGAUCGGGAUGACGGGGCGUCCUGGAUCGCCUCUCUUGACCGGCAGAAGGUCAGUAGAGAAUUCAUUGACGGGGUUACUCCAAUUACCUGCAUCAAACACGUCUACAAGAUUUGCAGAUUCUAAUCCUUCCGGUUGUGAUGGUAUACCGGGGUUAGUAGUAGGAACAGCAGCAGCUAUUUGAUUUAACUGAGAUUCAAUCAUUUUAUUAAAGCUAAUUUGAUUCUUGAUGGCAGUAGAGAAAUUAUCCAUUCUAUUAUUUAUAUUUUCUAGCAUUUUAUCAUUAGAUGCCAAUUUCUUAGAUAGAUUAUCCAUUAGCUUUCCUUGAUUAGACACUAACUCUCUCAAAGGUGGAAAAUUAUUAUUAUUAUUAUUGUAAGAAUUGUUACCUUGAUAAUUACUUGAGUAGUUAGGCCUCUGUUGAUUCCAACCUUGAUUUUGUUGAGGACGGUUGUAGUAGUAGUAGUUGUUGUUGUUGAUGUAGUUCACAUCCUCAAGUAUCUCAGGGCAGUGGUUGCCUGAGUGUCCAGUGUCUCCACACUCCUCACAAGUCAUGUGAGAGUCGUAGAUGUGCAUAACUUCUUUCUUGUCUCCAGCUCUAUCGUCGAGCUUCUUCAUGAGCAGGUCUAGCUUUGCAGACAACAUGUCUACCUCCUUCAGCUGAUGCAUACCUCCACCUCUCUUGCGUGUCUGGCUCCUCUCUUCAUUCCAGCUUUGGUUGGACGCCAUCUUCUCCACAAGAGUUGUGGCUUGUGGUAUAGUAAGUGAUAAGAAUGCUCCUCCAGCUGCAGCAUCCAUGGUCUCUCGGGCACUGUUGCUGAGCCCAUGAUAGAAUGUCUGCAUCAAUAGCCAACUCUCCAUUCCAUGAUGGGGACAUUCUAGGAUGUAGUCUUGAAAGCGCUCCCAUGCUUCUGGAACAGAUUCAUCAUUUUGUUGCUGAAAACUUGUAAUCUUCCCACGGAGAGCAUUGGUCUUGCCCAUGGGAAAGAACUUAGCCAGGAAGUUUGUUGAGCAGAGUGCCCACGUAGUAUUCUUCUCCUUUGUAGCGUAGAACCACUGCUUCGCUCUUCCUAACAGUGAGAAUGGGAAGAGGCGAAGUAGUAUAGCGUCUUUGGAAACUCCUGCUAUGGUGAAUGUGUUGCAAAUCUCCAGGAAGUGUUGUAAAUGAGCACUAGCAUCUUCGUGUGCCUUCCCACAGAACUGGUUGGAUUGCACCAUGUUGAUAAGUCCAGGCUUGAGCUCAAAGUUGCCAUCGAUCUCUGCAGCAGGUCCAGUGCGGAUGUUGUCCGUAGUGGGAGCUGAGAACUCGCGGAUCGAUUUGUUCGCCAUGGCUUCGAACUCUGAAGACAAGUUCCGGUGAUCUUCUUGAUUGGAUGAAGCUUCUUCGUGAAGUGUUGAUGAUUUCUUUAGCUUGGCUCUCGUCUUCUUGAAUAAUGCUUCAGGAUCGUCAACAAAAUUUCCUGGAAGAUGUCUUCUAUUCAUACAUUCCCCUACAUAAGAUAAAAUAGAAAAAUAUCAGGGUAAAACUGUAUGAGAGAAUAGAUAAGCUCAAUCAUAUCAGUGAUGCGAAUGAUAACUCAAAAUCUUUUAUUCCAUUCCUGAUUAGUAAUCAACCUUCCCCGGCAACGGCGCCAAAAAUUGCUUGUUGGGUAUUCUUAACAUCAUUACCAAAAGUAGACUAAGUUCUAAAUCUAGCAACGGUGCCAAAAAUGCCAAACCUAUCCCUCACACCACUUAAGCCAAGUUGUCAUCCCCAGCAUGACAUGAGAGACGCGGUAUUGAAAUAUGCAAUUGCUCUUCUAAAUAAAUAAUGAAUGGGAUCUGCAAGCGCACAGAUUAAUACCGAUGUAGCAUUUUAACCGGGAAGUAUUCCAGGUAUCGUUAUUUAUAUUUUUACCACUGGGAAGGGAUUAGAAAUCAUCACUAAUGAUUACAGAAUAGAAUAUGAGAUUGAGCAUCUAUCAUUGCAUGUAUAAUUGAGAACAUUAUAUCUAACUCUUCAUACAGGGAUAAGUGUCACAUAAAAGAUGUAUGGAAUAAUAAUAGUGACAAGGAUAACUAAUCUGAUCUAGCCACAUAAUAAAUAUGAUAAGCACCUCAAUUAGAUACUCUAGAAAGUCAUUAGCAUGGUAUUAGAACGAACUACAAGAAUAUUCCAUAAGUUAUUCUCAACUAUAUAGUCUAGCAUUAUCAUAAUUAGUGCAAGCAUACUUAGCAAUCAUUGCGAGACAAGACUACGCCCAUGCAUAGUGAUAUUAGCAAGGAAUAUGAGAAACAUAGCAAUCACUCCCCUGUAAUAAUGUUGCUCUGCCAGCCCAAUACACGAGAGGGGGACUAUAUAAGAAUCAAUGAAGCUGUCACUAUCACGAACCACCCCACGAUCUGGCAUAUUGGGUACAAUCGCAGAUAAAUACGGUAUAAUCACCACGCCUACACAAUAUCUAUCAUUUACCCAUGGAUCCGAUGGAUAAACGCUAUACGAUCCUAAGCAUGUAUAUAGAUCGUAUCUAACUAAGCCAAGUACAUAACUAUGAUAAACUAAGAACAAUAUAAUCUUGAAUAUAAGCAAGUAGAGCAAAGUCAUAAGCAAUAUCUUGAAGUAGAACAAAGUCAUAUUCAUAAUAUUGAAGAACAAAGAUAAUUAGAAAACAAUUAGAAACACAAUUAGAGAAUUACCAAGAAUCCUCUUGACAGAUCCGGAAACCAAUCGAAGAUUGACUCCUUCUAGUUCUAAUCCUAUAUAGCUAUGCUAAUCUAGAUGUCUAAUUGAUGUGGUGGCUCUAAUCUUGAUCAGAGGCUUCUUCUCCCUUGAUGGAACAAUGAAUUAGGGUUGAGAGGCUCUCUCCUCCAGGGGCCAGGGGGUCUGGUUUUAUAGUCCCUUCAAGUGAAUAUGGGCCCUUCGAUCAAACCGACAUAGAUUGUAUGGUUUAGAUUCAUCCUUUAGGUCGGUGGAGACUUCCCGCAAAGCAGAGUCCUGUUUGGACUCCUGAGGUGGGCGGGCGCCGAGUAGGAUAGGGCGGGCGCCCUGCCUCUGGCCCCGUUUCGCCUCCGCUUCGGUCUCGUGGCCUCUGGAGUCUUCUAGAUGUAAGAUAAUUGCGCAGCACGUUAAUAUCUUUACGUAAUCCUAACGUGUGGGCCUUUCUUCCGUAUUUCCUGAUAACCCCCUGCAGAAAUAGACAAACACCAAAACUCGUGGAAUUCUGUCAAAUAAAACCCUAAGUCUGGAUGUGGAUUUUAUUUGGAUCCUUUUCUUUACUUAUUUGAUAAUUAAAUUUGAUACUUAAGGACCGUCAACAUCCACCAUGGGGCUUGAAACUGUCACUUGUGUCUUGAGCAGUUAAAAGAUAGAAUGGUCAAGUCAAGGGCCAUGUCUCUUGUUCUGGAUCAACUAUAGCUCUAGAGUUUUUGUAGAUUUUCAAAUAAAACUCAAAGAUUCCUUGUAUGACUCUCCCAAUUCUCUCCUUUGUGGUAUUUCUGGAUCCUCACCAAGGCAGUGAUGAUAUAUGCCUUCUCUCAAAGUAUGUAGUAUUUGUUGAUGAUAUAUAGCUUGUGACCUUCCAGGAGCAGCAGCUUGUGUUCUAGGCUCAGCAGACGGCGAUGAUGGCCGCUCUUAUGGCCGCCUCAGGGAUUCAGCUUACUCAGAUACAGCUCCCAGGCACUUCGUCAGUCAGGCCUCCUACCCCAGCGCCUUAGAGUCAGUCUCAGCCACCGCUUCAGCUCCCUGCUCAGAGUCAGCCAUUCUUGACGCCACAGCACUAGGUUUCAUAGGGUGCCAUCUCUUCUGGCUUUAAGCAGUUGCCUCGGUUCACACCUCUGCGCUCUGGUUUUACAGCUCAGUCAGCGACAGCGUCAUAGCUUGUGUUGGAUUCAUCGGCAGGCCAGCACAUCAGUUUCUCUUACAGUGCUCUGACUGGUGACCCUACGCCUUCACCCCUGCAGGCUCCUGCAGCUUUUACGAUCCCAGUUACCACCACUGAGCACCUGUCGUUGUCAGUAGCUUCGUCUGAGUAGCUUGCACCUUACUCUACCGUACCAGAGAUGUCAGCUACAGCGACAGAGUCCAUGCCAACCUCGUCAGCAGGACUUGAGCAGCCCGCACAGCCUGUGACAGCUUUAGAGCCUAUAGAGCCGACCCAGACCGCUUCUCCAGCACGUGCAGCUUCAGAGGGUCACUCUAUCUCCUCCGACUCGACGGCCAAUGGAUAAGACGACGCAACAAAGUUUCAGGCUGUGCCGAGGGACUCCACUACUCCGCCUCCACCUCCUUCAUCUUAGGUUUUUGGCGCUUGAUGCCAAAGGGGGAGAGAGUUGAGAGUAUGAGAGUUAGGGGGAGCUAGAGCUAGAGAGGGCUUUGGGUUUUUGAUACUUUUGUUUGCUACUCCUUGCAUCAUAUUUACGUUUAUGCAUUGCAUUUGUGUGAGAUACUCUUGGGAGAUACUUUUCUGGUUGUGAGACAUGACUUAUGCUUCUCUGUGAUAUCUUUAUGUCAUGUGGAUUGGCUCAUAUUACAUUGCUUCCGCAUUUUUACUCUGAUGUACUAUGAGCCAUAUGUGUUGAUAUCCUGUUGUAUACAUCUCACAUAUUUGGAUGCAGGAUGAUAGAGUUAGUUGAUAUAAGCAUGCCUAAUCCCUUUUGUUCUUAUUGACUCAUGCGUAUAGAAACCAAGUCAUUUGAAAACCUCAUUUCCUUUCAUACUCGAGGUUAUUGUCAUCAAUCACCAAGAAGGGGGAGAUUGAAAGAGCAUCUAGGCCCCUAAUGAUUUCAGUGAUUAAUGACAAUGUUGAUUACUGUGACUAACGUGUGUUUUGCAUAGGCAAAGUCAUUUAGUGAGGUCAUGGUAAUAGGUACUCGAUGAAUAGGGACGUACAUGCCUACUUAAUAGUGGAAAUCAUUUCGGUUUUCAAAGGAUGGAUGGACAUCAUCAAGACUAGACUAGGUCUAAGUGCCAUAUGGUGAAGAAGGGCACGUAGAGUAGUUUAGGACUUUGUUUUCUUUUGACCGUACUAUUAAGAGGGGCUUUGAUCUAGUAGCUUGACUUAGGCAAGGCUUUAGGUUUAGGUGUGGUGCACACUUGGUAAACCUAGCUCUAGGCAGCUCAAAGAUAUUCCUUAGAUCGAGAGGAACCAACUUCAUUUUGGAACGGUCGCGUUUCGACGAAGUUAGGGUGCCUAAGUAGGCACCGAACACUCUGUGAGUGCGUCCGUUGAGGUCCUUAGCCGUUGGAGAGCUUUGGUGCUUAGGGUUAGGCACCGGACGCUGGCACCAGACUCACCGGGCAGCGUCCGGUCCCAUACCCAGGGAGGUUCUAAACCUGCCCCGAGCACCGGACGCACCGGGUAGCGUCCGGUCUUAAACUUAGGGAGUUUGUAAAACUCCCCGGAGCACCGGACGGUGCCAUCGGACGCUGGGAAGUAGCGUCCGGUGACCUGUCAGAGACAGUACAGUUAGCCGUUGAAGUGCGGUGCAGCAUCAACAGCGUCCGGUGACCCUGUUUUUAGUGGAAACCGGUUGGCCGACCCUUGGACUUAGUGGGGUGUAUUUAAACUCCUCCACGUCGUCCAUGAGAGGUCUCUGCCCAUUUGAACAUCUAAGAAACUUGUUGUGGAGCAAGAGAGUAGCAAUAGACUAGAGAGGAUUGAGAUUUGAGAGAUUUCUUGUGAGAAUCCUUCUCUAGUUGAAUUCCAAGAGUCAAGUGUGCAUCCACCACUCUCUAGUUCCUUGUUUGGGUCAAGUGAGAGUUCUUUGCUUGUUUCUCUUGGUGAUCGCCAUCACCUAGAUGGUUCGGUGGUGAUUGGAGGCACGAGGACUGCCCGAAGUUCUUGUGGGUGGCUCGUGUCAAGCUUGUGAGCGGUUUUGGGCGAUUCACCAUGACGGAGUGUCGAAGAAUCAGCCCAUAGCGAGCACUUGGUCCUUGCGUGGACCAAGGGGGAGCAAGACCCUUGCGCGGGUGCUCCAACGUGGACUAGUGGAGAGUGGCGACUCUCCGAUACCUCGGCAAAACAUCGCCGAGCACUUUCUUGCACUACUCCUUUACUUUCUAGCAUUUACUUUGUGUUUUUACAUUCCUAGAAUUGCCAUGCUAGAAUAGGAUAGGAACUAAGUUGCAAAACUUUUAUCCGGUAGCUCUCUAGUCACACUAGGCACAAGGGGUUGAAUUGGAGCUUAUAGGUUGCUUAAAUUUUUAGAGAAGCCCAAUUCACUCCCCCUCUUGGGCAUCUUGAUCCUUUGAGACCCGUACAUGAGCGAUUAAAUUUUGGAGGGAUAAAUCAGCGUAUAAAAAUAGAAGAUACUCAUGAUUGGCUGAGAGGAGUGUCGAGGGUGUCAAUAAAUGGUACCCCAAUAGACAUCCCUGACAGAGGAUAAAAAGCUAACCUGCAAGUCAGACUCGACACCCCCCUCUAUAAAAGCGUGCUGAUCGAUGAUCUAACUCGACCCACGACACGCUCAAUGAUUGAUCCUGGUCUCGGUUAUGGAAAUAUGGUCGAGCGAACAACUAAAGGCUCAGAGCUAGACAACCCUCGAUUACGGAAGUGGCAUCGAGCGAAUCAGCUAGCCUCGAGAGCAAAAAGCGCAUCCCGCCGCCUGCCGCUGGUACGAGGUUCAGGGCAUUUAAUGCGACUGACAGGCUCCCACCUAACCUAGCAGGCACAGGAAACAUGAUGAUGGAUCAUGUGCCUGUCAAAUUCUGUUUUUUCCUAGCUUUGUCCUCAAAAUCAGAGAAAGAUAUGUACAGGUACAGUUGCAACAGGCGUAAUGUCCCAUCAAGUCAGUGCUCUUGUACACGGGCGCCGCAUAAACCGCCAGACCCUCGAGCCUGCGUGCUCCUUCUCAGAAAAGGGUUGAGUGAUGGAAGAUAAGCUCAGGAGGUGCAUGCGCCAUCAACACCAAGUACACUACAACAAGAUGGGUCGAGGCCACGCUGGUACGGAAGCCUCGAGUAGACUCGUGCCAUACCCCUAUCGAGGCCUACUCUAGCGCCUAUGCCCUAUAACCUUGAGCCUCCCCUUGGACUAUAAAAGGGGACACUGAGGCCAAGACAGGAUGAGAGAAAAAAACAAGACUCGCAUACACCACCCCACGCCGUGAGGACUUAGAACCCAUAUCAAAUCUCUCUUGUAUACACCCCUAUACAAGCACUUUGGUGCAAGAUAAUAUAGACUCUCUCUCCCCCGCUGGACAUGGGGCCUUCUUUUUCCUAAACCAGGAUAAACCCUUAUGUCCAUCUUGCAUCACCAUCCGGAAAGGAGAACACGCACACAAAUUCACUCGUUGGUGUUGCCCCCCAUGUUUAAAACACCGACUGUUGGCGUGCCAGGUAGGGGUCCUGCGUGUUUCACUAAUGAUUUUCCACCUCUUUUCGGAUGGCCACCUCUAUCUCACUGAUUCCAUGCUCCAUGGUGAUCUAGUUUGGGAGCCUCGAGUUCAUGUCCACCAGCUUCGGCUACGACAUGAUCUUGUUCUCAGUCAGAGGACCGGAAGGGGCUCGCAUUGUGCCCACACGAUCGAAGGCCACGUGUCGGCCUCACCACCAUGCCUCCCCGACCAAGAGGAGGUGCGAUCAGCACCGUCACCAUCGCCCCAUGGCUGUUGCGUGAUCACCACCCUGUGUAGGGCAGCUAGACCCCCUGGUUGUGGGACCGUCAGCUCUGCGCUUCGAGACAGUGACCGAGCCAGCCAGCCAAGGGGCAACCACCAUUCGACAGUGCCAAGGAACACCAUUCCCCGUGCACCUUCACCGCCAUCCACCCUGCUGCCACAUGGUUUGUUCGCCACCAGGCGGACGCUCCCGUUUAGCCUCAACAACGCUGCAACAUCCCUCGCCAGGACAGUCCAUCCUAGCGCCAACACGCACGUGGAGCGGCCAUAGGCCCUUGCACGUAGCGUAACAGUGCAACAAGAGGUCCCUACAUCAGCUGAAAGCCCAGGCUUUCUGCAGAUACGCAGGCCUCGACCCUUGGGACCAGGAGGCUACACCGUGACCACACUGAGAUAGCAGCUAGCGGAAGAGUGGCGCGGAUGCUUCUACACCACCGCAGAGCCAGAUCUCGACUCUAAGUCUGAUAGCUACGACCCCACGAGGGAGCGCUUCAAAAUUGUAGAUGGAGUUGUGGCCACCACAGACGACACAGAGGAUGAUGCCAAUGCCGCCGCUGCCGCCGCCCCAGAGGUCAGGGAGAACCCUAGGACUCCUAGGCACGAAGGACAGCUAGACCCUCCCCCUCCUCAGGAUGACAAGGCCACGCAGCUCGCACAACUGUGCGAGUUGAAGGCCAAACUCGACGAGGAUUAGGAGCGCCUCGACAAGCUAGAACACGCUCUCGAGCAAGAUCAAGUGCACCCGCAUGGCGGAGGAGCACGAGGUCACGCUCAAGAAGUCUACCAGCAGAUCAUCGAGGACGGAGAGCCGGAAUGACUUGUCAGUCGUUUCUCUCGAGCAGGAUAGAACAUAGUAGUGGCAACUAUGUUGCUGUGCAACAUGCCCGAGCCCUCAAAGUCCCAAGCGCACCGCAUACGAGAUGAGGUACAAGGCUUACUUCACGCCACUACGGCCCAGCAAGCUGAAAGCUCACCCUCCCAGUGUUGAGGGGCAGCCACAGAAAAAUGCCCCGAGCCGGCGCAACAUGGGAGAGAGGUUUCUAUCCACCAGGAGCCUCCCCCUCAAGGCAAGAAGACGGCCCCAAUCCAGGAGCGCCUUGUCGACAACCGGGAGCCACGUGACGCGCGCCACGACAUCAACAAGCACCGACGACGCAAACACGGGGAUGCUGAGGAGCGAGGCUACAGUGCUCACCGCGGCGGAUGCUACGACAGUGAUGAGGACCGGAUGACUCCAGAGCUGCUGGGGCCUCGAGUCUGGGCGAUCCAUAGCACGCUACUGCCUAAUCUACUUUGGCCUCCAACUAGAAUCGCUAAGUACAAUGGCAAAACUAAGCCAGAACUAUGGCUAGCGGACUUUCGGCUGGCAUGCCAGCUGGGAGGAGCUCGAGGAGACGAUCGAGCCAUCAUCCGAUAGCUCCUGCUUUUCCUCUCUGACACCGCUUGUAGGUGGCUCGAGGAACUCCCCGCUAACUAAAUCUAUGACUAGGUGACCUAGUCAGGGUGUUUGAGGGAAAUUUCAAAGGGACCUAUGUCCACCCAGGCAACUCGUAGGACCUCAACAAGUGCAAGCAGAAAGCCAGAGAAUCUCUUUUAGAAUAUGCUCGACGCUUCUCCAAACAACGCACCGAGGUCAAACACAUCCCCGACCACGACGUCAUUCUGGCGUUUGUGUCAGGCACCACCUGCAAGGACUUGGUGCGGGGAGUUGGAAUGCCAUAACCCGCUGACCGUCGACGAGCUGAUGGAUGUAGUGGCCAACUAUGCGGCUGGCGACGAAGCGGUCGACAUGUGUUGAUGGUAGAUAAGCCCUAUUUUUACCCCAUCAAAACCGUUAACAAUACAUUCUUUCUAGAAGAAAAUCACCAAACACAUAGUGACUUAGGUACAAAUAACUUGGUUCCACAUGUACAUGUCAUCAUUUGAAUGCACGUGUGCAAUCGACUACUUUUCAGGGUUAAGAAGCUCUAUAUGAAGGUUGGACUACCACCCUAGAAUGGCCAAUUGGAAAACCAACUUCACAUUCAUCAAUCUCAGAGCUUCUGGAGACAAUGUGCAAAAGAUGGGCACAUUAGUGGGGUCGGCCGACCCCACCUUUGUGGGCCCAGCACCACUACUGUGCUUAGAAUUUCACCAGGAACUCACCUGCAGAAGAUGAACCUUUGGUUCUACCAAAGUGGGGUCGACCGACCCCACUAUGGGGCCAUCCAGCCACCUCGUUUGCACCAACCAACAUGGGAUUCCUUCUAGAAGACAACACCGGUCCCACCUGUCAUUGGACAGGUCGACCGACUGACAUGUGGGCCCCAUCUUGUGUCGGUUCACUCCCACCGACAUCCCCAUGAUGAACAUGUGAUGGAAAUCCCCAACCGUUGAUCAUAUGGUGGUUCCAAGGUUGGUUUAUCCAAUGGUGCAUGCUGGAGGUCACGCGGAUUGCUGACGUGGCACUGGAGUAGCCCCUACUCCAUCUCUCCCCUAUAAAUACCCCCUUAGAAAGUCUAGUUAAGCAUGAUGUAUCUUCAGAAGAGCUAAUCUUAGCUAGUAUGAGAAUAUAGGGAAGAGAGUGAGGAGUUCCCUAAGGAGGAGUCCCAGCUUAUCGGGAGUUUUCUUCGACGAGCACCUCAGCGGAUGCUUGUCUUCUAGUAAGUCUUCCUUCUAGUUGCCUUUCAUCUGAGUACUUCCAGUAUUUACUUUCUAUCUUAGUUUAUUUUAAGUAUACAACCAGCCUACUGGCACAUUGCUUUGCCUUGUGUGAAGUGCUCGAAACCUUAGCUAGGUCUAGAGUAGUAGAAUUAGUGUAGACGUGGUGUCUAGACUAAGUCUACCCUUAUGGACUUCUUGUCGCACCUGAAGAACGCCGGCAGUGAAGCGUGACAGGCCUCUACUGGACAUUAGGAGUUCUCUUAAUGUGUUGUUUGGCAUGUUGCAAAUAAUAGUUGGCCUGCAUGGUAGCUGCCUAGUGAAGUGUUUGGCCACACCCUUUUCACCUAUCAGCCACAGUAUGAAGGGAAUUAACUCUCAAGUAUACUUAGGAUAGCUUAGCCAGAAGCCAAAUACUACAAAUACCUCUCCACCCAAUCCUAAGCCCAUUGAUCAUCAUCCAACGACUCAGUUGGUCUAGUAAGUCCACUUCUCGUUCCCCGUGGAAAAUACGAUACCUAGAAUACUCCUGGUGAAGUGCUACAUUAACCACCGUCCACUUGCUGUAAAACCAUUUGCCACUUCUGGUGUCUCAUAAGCAUUUCUAGUGCUAUGCCAGGGACUGACAAUCCUAGGUAGUGACAUUAAGAAGAGUCAUCAAGCUUUUCUAGCGCUGUUGUUGGGGAACGGUAGCUGAUCUAACUUAGACCCAAGUCGUCCGAGUUAUCCUUCUUUUACCUUUCUUUUCUUUUUAUCCUUUCCACUGCAUGUUUGCUUAAUAUUACAUAAAUCUAGUGCUUUCUUGGGUAGCUCCUAGUCUUUGAGUUGUAUUCAGGCAUCAUGACUAGUCUAGAUAGACAACAAUUUUAUUGUUGUCUACCUAUUCGGGCUCCUAGUCUAGCUUGUGGUAGUCGAAUGUCAAACGGGAACAUCCCAGCUCAUAUAUCGGCUUUAGCUGUAACACCCUAGUGUUAUGGUUGCAUUAAUCAUGUGCAUAGCAUAAGCAUCAUCAUCUACUCAAAGCAUAUCAUGAUCAUCAUCUAUCUUGAGCCAUGUCAUUCUAUGCAUAAAUGUGUUUUAAAUUGCUUAAUUAGGCUUCCUAUGCUUAUGUUUGAGUGAACCAUGCUUGUGUUUGUGCUUAAUGCCUUGGUAAUUAGUUUAUCUAUGCUUAAUUUGACUUUGGGAACAAUGUUCAUGUUGGUCACUUCUCCAAAAUAUGCCUUUAAGUCAUACUUAUGAAAAUAGGCCCUAGAAACCUCUUUUGCUUAGGCUUUUAAAAAGUGUUUCAUAAAAUGUUUACAUGUCAAAACUUUCUACAUCAAAGUUGUAGCACAUUUUAUAAGGAACAAAAGUUGUUUUAUGGCCAUCUCAUGAAAAUGACCACAAAUAGCUCAAAAGUGACCCACAAGGCAGAUUUGGGGCUGUUUCCAACACUUAGAAAAUUUUCUAAGUCCUGGAACGAAACCAGUUUGCUCGAUCAAUUUUGAAAACUCUGUAUCUUUCAAUCCAGGCCGAUUUGGCUUUUGCUCCAAUUGACAAAGUUGUAGAACUCGAUUGGAACUCCAACUUUGUCAACUGCAUCAUCUUCUAACUCGGGCUGGUUUGGGAGACAAUCAUCGGUGAAGUUGCUCUGUCACACUGUCAUCGUUUCUUCUGAAUCGAAGCCGAGCUCGUCGACAUGGCCAACCGGCGGCAGAGCUCCGUCGACAUUUGGCGCCCGUACACCGUUCCUGGCCCCGCUUGUCAGCUCUCUUCGUGUGCAUGACCCCCACGGCGUCGCCCUGGACGCAGUGGACGCGUCCACUCUCGCCUUUCACGCCUCCACUCGCCAGAAGAGCGUCCGCAGCGAGCUCACCGUCGCGAGCUCACUCCGGCGAGCUCGUGCGCGCUCCUCGCUGCGUCCCAGCCUACCAAACUUCACCCAAAGCUCCACCGUGAACCGCUCUCCAAUCUCCACGCUCUAACUUGCCGAGAAACCCACCGGUGAGCCGACAUUUCCUUCUUCCCCCAAAUCGGGUCGCCGUGACCAUCUUCUCCGGCGAACUCAAUGCCGAGCCCUGUGAAGCCUUUUGUCGUCUCUGGUUAGGUCCUAGAGGUAGCUUAGGUCCUUAGCGAGCUUUUGCGCCACUUGGUGGCUGCUCUACCAAGCUCUCCGUCGCCGGACACGGUGCGCAGCGCCGCCGUGCUUCCACCGGAGAUGGGUGCUCUCGUGGCCAGCGUGUUCCACGAGAAUCCAAGCCAAGCUGCGUACCUAGGAAGCUUCGCCGUAGUCCGCUGGUGCUGUAGAAGGCCUUAGGUCGCGCUCUACCGGCCUGAGGGCUCCGGCGUAACGCCGAGCACCUCUGCCGAGCCGCCAUCGUCGACGGCGAGCCCUUUCCGGUUGCUCCGCCGUGGGGAAAAGGGGGUCAAUCGAGUCGCUAGGGUUUGGGGAUCAUGCUGAUGCCCUUGGUUUGGCCGGAGACCUCGCCGUCGCGGAGAAAUCGCCGGCGAUAGUCGCAUCGGCCGUGAGGACGAUGACCCUGACAGCUGGGGCCCACUGUCAGCGUCACUCUCCUUCCCUCCUUUUCUUUUAUUCAAAAUCUGGAUUUUUGGCUUUCUUGCAAAAAUCAUAUCUCCUGUUUCGGAGAUCCAAAAAUUGUGAAACAAAUUUUGUGGUAUUCCUUGAGAUUGCUAGUUUUUAAUAAAAAUAUAAAAUGAACCAUGUUUUCUGGGAAAAUAUUUAUUAAGUAUUUAAUCUUGUUAUUCAUGGAUAAAUUCAUAUCUCUGGUUAUACUGCUUAGUUUACUCUAAAAAUUUUAUGGUAGUCUCUGUAUGGUAUUAGAGUUCUUUGGUAAAUAUUUCAUGAUUUUUGGUGUACUGCAGCUUUGAUGUGCAAUUUAUGAUUGAAAUGUGGCUUGUUUCUUUAAUUAAAUCAUAUAAAAUAAUUGGUGCUUAUGCUGGUGCUCUACUUUGGUAGUAAACCUGUUCAUGGUAUUUCUCAUAUAUAAAUAAUCUGAAAUCUGUUGUUUGAUACCAUAUAAGUCAUGUUUCUUAAUUUAUGAAGUAAACACCUAGGCACAUGUUAAAUGCAUAACUUUAAUUUGGUAUGUGCAAUUGCUCUGAAAUUUCCCUGGUGAUACUUUGAUACUAUCUUUGUGCUUCUGUAAUUUUUGUAGAUUUUUCUGAGCACUUUGACUAGUAGCUUGUGAUUAUGCUAUUAUCUAGAAUUAAUUAAUAAAUGCCUUGUUAAGUAAAUGUUUGGGGGUUGUCAUCUGAUGUUCUGGCAACCUUGUAAUGUGCUUGUGCUCAUAAGCCAUGUGGUUGGCAUGGUUUAUGUUUUGGUCAUGUCAUUAAAUAAUUAAUUAUAGGGUUAAAGGCUGUUCUGGACAGCAAGGGAGAAAUUUAACUUUUGCUUAAUGAUAAUUUGGUUUUCUGGGCAACUUGUCUAAAUCAAAGUUGUAGUAAACUUAUUGAACUAGCUGUGGUUUAAAUUUGGAAUAAAUUGGUCCAGUAGUUUAAAAGUUAUGGCUGUUCCAAGUUAGGUUCCAGAAAUAGGUGCUCUCUGUUUUUCUUGGACAGAACCUGGAAUUUUGUUUAAUUGACUGGUUUAAUGUAUGAAUCUUGCUGUCAUGUUUAAAGGUGAGAUGUAGACAAUUUCAUAAGCUUUUCAGAAUGUCUUUACUUAUGUUUGUUGGAUCUGUCUAUCAUUAGUUAUGAUCUGUUUGCUGAGUUACUCCUGUUUUGUGUUGCUUGCUGUUAAAGGGUAUCAUGAUAGGUUUUGGGCUAAGUUAACUUGUUUACUUGUGUGAGCUUGUAUAACUUUUGCUCCGUAAAUGAGUGUCCAGUGAGUUACUUAUGUUAUCAAGCAUUCAUUCUUUUGUAUGCACAUCUUCUCAUUCACCGAGCAUGCAAUAGGUGCACCGGACGUGGCAGUUUCCUUCAAUCUUCAGGCGAAUCCCGAAGGUCAGGAGGGCAGCCAAGAGGUGGAGGUCCAGCAAGUCGGACCCGAGGAGCCAGAAGAAGAAGUUGCGUGCCCGAAUCACGAGCCAGCGUCGUUCGUGAAAGGCAAGCCCCGGAGCAUUCUAAGUCUCCCUUUAUUUUCGAAAGUUUACUUAAUAUGUUAUACCUAUUGAUGCAUUACGUGUAGGAGUUGUGAUAAAACUUUUGCUGCAUUCUAAUCUAUCCUUGUCUAGAUAAUUCAUCCUACCCUGGUUGUAGAGUUAGGAUCGAGUAGCAGCUUAGCUAUGCUUUAAUCGGUAGAAGUGGGGUGAUAUCCUGUCACCUGCGCGAUAUAGGGUUAUGUCGGAUCGCGAUGGUCUAUAUGUGCUAUCGUGGAUGGAACCUGAUUAAAUUGACUUAAGCCGGGCGGAGUUUUGCAAGUUUGUAGUAACUCCGUCUGUGGCAGCUAAGGACCGAUCGUUGUACGUCCUCUUGUCAUGUUGAACGCAUGCCUAACACUUAGUUGGCCGGAUAACUCGUUCCGACCGCGAAGCCGAGUAGUAUGACUCAGGCCGGAAGACCGGCAAGUAUAAAGUGCGCACUACCGGAGGAAGUGCGGUGUGCGGGGGACCAUUGGCGUAAGUCCAAAGGCAGGUGAGUUAAAAUUCCUGACCUCCCUGGCAGAGUGGUAGCCCUGGGAGUGCGGCGCUGAUCGGAGCCGCGAUUUCUGAGUCGUACCAAAGGUGACCCGUUGUCUCUCCGGCAGGGGAUGCUUGGGUGAGUGCUAGGAAUAACCCUCCAGCUGGAUAGGAAUUCGAUUCGAAUCGCCGUCUCUCCCGGUUAGUGAGAACUUGACAGAGCAGCAGCAAACGUAGCAUCUACUAAUGAACCUGGUUCAUGAAAUGAUGAUAGCAAGAAGAACAUAUGAUGAAUUUGAUAUGGUUAUUAUUGUUUGCAAUAAUCAAGUGAUGUGUUGUAGUACAGGUGCUAAUCUAGUGGUAGGCUGAUGAUAAAUAAAUAUAAUGCUCUCAAUUUAAUUUAGUUGUAAGUUAAGCUUUUGGCAAAAGUUGAGUCAACCAGCUCCACUUGAUAUUUAGCCUUGCAUGAUCCUUGGUGUCUUUUAUGUUUUACUAGAAGGGUAAGUCUAGCUGAGUACAUUCUCGUACUCUGGGUUUAUUCCCACCUGUUGCAGAUGACAUCUUCUAUGACGGUUUCUGCAAGACCUGUCUCCAUCCCGCUGGGGAUGAGGACUAACCGUUGGGCACGGUUCUCUAACAACUUCGUAUCUGAUGCUUUUGGAAGGAUGGUGUAGACUCUGGCAAUAACCAAAAACUUGUGAACUGAACUUUGAACAAGUGUGUGUAACUAUUUUGCUUCCGCUACUUCGAACUUUGGUUGUAAUAACUUAAUGACUCCGAUGUGGUGCCGCUUCGACGGCAAUGAAUGGCUAUGUAACAUUCGCUGUGUUUAUGUUCAACUAUUACGAUCUUGGUUUGUUGCGAGUUGGUUUGAAGUCCUUCGUGAUUUCAAUUGACUACCGGGAUUAUAUGGGCUCAAGUUUGGAAACUUGAUUGCUUGGCGAUCGUUUCUGCACUUGAACUCUUAUAAUUUGGUCGGUUCUGUGACAUUAAUAGUCAGUAUGAUGAUGUUCUAUGGAUGGGCCACGCCACAGGGAAAAUCUAAAGCCUAGAUGUUAAUGCAUAUCACUCAUUUAUUUUUACUUUAACCAUAGCAUAUUUGUUUAAAUGCAUUCAUCCUCCACUUUGUCUUCAUCACUCAUUAUCUUGUCUCUAGUAUAAUGAAUCUUGUUUAUCCUAUCAUGCUCCCUCUUUCUAUGUCAGUAUGCUUUGGUUUGGUUAUACUAAUCACUCGAGUGAGUACCUCCAUAGUCUUUUUAAAUUAAGCAUGAUGCUUAGGUUAAAUAGACUACCUUAAUCAAACAAGACAUGGAGUUAAGUUUGAUUAUUGAACCAAUCAUACUUGCAUGGAACAUGGUUGCACUUUUGGACUAACCCCUGCAGUAAGAACAUCAAUAUCUCUAUGGCUAAGUCAUGAGAUCAUUCAUGGAGACAACUUGAGAUCCUCAUGGUCAAAGACAAGUUUCUUGGCCAAAGAGAACUUCGAUGCAACUAAGAAGGGCCAAUGCUAUGACUCAUCAUCUUCGAGGUAAGUGGCCACCUUCUUAAGAGUUUUCAAGGAGUUUGAUCCUUGAUAGAAGAAGUUGACAUGCUAAGAACACAUCCUUACUAAAGAUUCAACAAGACUAAAAUCUACAUGUCUUAACUUCUUUUAUAUAUUUUGUGUGGAUUGGCUUUUAGGAUAGCAUGAAUACACUUAUUUUAGUCCUUAAGACAAAACUGGUCUUGGGCAGCCUCCAUUAUGGGUCGGGCGACCCCAUCUUAGUGACUAACCAAGCCCAUGUUUGGCCAAACCAUCUAUAACAUGUGGGGAAGUACAAACCCAAAACCUGUUCGCUCUAAAACUUCCAAACGGGGGUCGGUCGACCUGGACUUAGUACCCACUAUGGCUCAAACUUGGCCAGACCACUUCUAAUCACCUAAAAAGUAUAGGACCCGAACUUGCUUGCUCUGCACCAAACAACUAAGGGUCAGGCGACCCCAACUUGAUAGGAUGCAAGUAUCUUGAAAGUGGUCCUACGAAAGGGAGAGUUGAGGGAGAAGUGUGAACUUUGGUUUCCACCGAGGUGGGGUCGGGCGACCCAUAGUUGGGAACCCCAAUCUGACCCAGAGUGUCGUGCCAGCACUUAGAAACUAUUCCCAGUUGCAACUCUUGUGAAAACAAGUUUGUAAUGUUUGGUAAUAGCUUUCCUUGGCCUUCCCUCUUCUUCUUCUCCAUCCCAAUCCUCCUUGUAUCAAACUCAACACCUUCUAGCCCCCUAUAUGCCUCCCGAGUUACCUUGAGUAGCCUUUUGUGGUCCCCACUAGCACAAAUGUCAUCAAUUUUAUCAGUGAGGCCCCCUUCAAUCAUGAGGGAGACUAGCUGCGAAACUAGAGGUCACCAUGGAGGCCAUUGUGCUUAAAGGAGAACCAUACCAUGCCUUCAAGAACCUCAAGGCAAAGGUAGGCAAGUAUGGCAAGAGGAGGUGCAAUCUUAGUCCAUAUCUCUAGGGCCAUCUGAAGCACCCAAGCAAUAAACAAGAUGGAGAGGUCCUGCUCUAUAAACCAAAAGCAUGGAGAUCUUGCUGAUAAGGUAAAUCAGUACUUAUCCCAUCUUUACUCAUUGCAUUUCAAUUCUUGUAUUUCCCUUCUGAUUGCAUGCUUAGUUUAGUUUUGCAUAUUUUCCCUUCAACAAAAUGCUUAGAAAUAAUAAAUGAAAAUCUUGAGAACAACUUGCAAUACAGCUUUGACCUAUGGAUCACCUAGAGGUGGGGUCGGCUGACCCCACCAUUGGGCCCAAAUGCAGUCUUUCACUUUGGCUUGAUGCAAUGUGUCGAGGUCAGCACUUGGAUGCUCCUGGAGCUUUCAAGUUGGGGUCGGUCGACCCCAAGACUUGCCCUUUUGGCAGUCUGCUUUAGAAUCCCAUGCAUGACAUACAAGCCAAAGUCUGAAAGGAAUUGGUUCGUUUGGGACCUAUGCAGCAGCUUAAACCUGCAAAGUGGUCCUAGACAUGCUCUAGUGCUGUUAUGAUCACUGACAACCACUUUAAGCAUAUCUCCACUUUUGCAAAUCAUCUUUUCUCUUUCACAUAGCACUAGGCAAUGGACUCUUAUAAAAGAACUUUACUUCUUGUCCACGCCUAGGCUUUAUUUUAGUAAACAUGUAAUGCCACAUCAUUAAAAGUGCUAAAGUGCUUAGGGUAGGGGUCAGUCGACCCCUUGGCCAAUCUCUGGAAAAGAGUUCAUAUAUGUUGCAAGAUUCCCUGCCAUGAUUCAAAAUUUUGAAACAUAGUGCUUAUGGGGAGGUCGGCUGCCCCCCACAUUUGGGUGUUCACCACUUGACCUUCUACCCCUAUAAAUACACAUGCAUUGUGAGCUCGAUUCCACACCCAAAACCACCAAAAUUAUCUCGAGCUCACAAUCCCUCCUCUCUUCUUAGUUGCAAGCUAUUUCUCAAGAUUAGGAUAGUUUCCUUUUAAAAAAACCAAAAAAAUAUUUAGUCUUGCAUAGGAGUAGAAGUAGGAAAAAGUUUGGUUGUCUGUGUUGUGCAAGAAAAUGGAGAAAGCAUUCCUCUCCUGAUUCUAGAAGUCCAAAGGGGGUGAGAGUUGUUCUCAAAGCUCUCAUCAUUCUAAUGAGGGAAGCCAUGAGAGGAUGGAGGAAGGGGAGAGUCACCAUCAAGUGGUUCUCUACGAACCUCCUCCAAGAGCAAUGGAGCCUGAAGAAUGAACUCAUAUUAACAACGGAAGAGCUGAUCAAGUUCAACAACCUAAAGGAGAGCGGUUUCUGCCAUACAAGCAUCCUUGACCUGGCCCUUGUGGACCGCACAGGUAUGACUAAGGAAUUCAAUGAUAUUUUAAUACCAUUGGUUUGGGAGGUUUUUGGUGAGUACCUUAAACUUGGUAUAGAAGUGCUCACUAAAGAAUUUUUAUGCACACUAAAAUUGACUCAUAACAUUUCACAUGUGUGGGCAAGAGUGUAGCUGUACUUGGGGUCUUCUAACCACUGCUCUAGGUUGUGACUUUGAUUGUACAAUUGACUUAGACACUACCAUGCCUGGGUUUAAUAAGAGUAUAUUUUGAUGAUUGCUCCACUCUCUUAACCUCUAAAAUUCACAAUCCAACCUUGUGCUUAAUUUAUUUCUGGAUUACUACCAAUCUUUUUUCUGGUUCUUCUGACUCUCUAAAAGAUGAUGAACUAAAAUUGCUCUACGCCAUGGUACACAAGAUUGAAAGCUCCCCUAUUAAAUUGAUGAUAAGAUUUUAGCUACUUACCCAUGACCCAAGUUGGUCCCGUUGGUGUGUUGCCACCAGUAGGACCCCUGCACUUGAUGUUUCCCAUGUCUUUGGAUUUCAGAAUGCUCAAGAAUCCAAGUGCGUGGGGGGGUCAAGUGGCCCCCUAACUAAGUCUAUGAAUUUCCUAAACACACCAUGACGUAGUACAUGGUGAGGCAAGUUGGCUCGACCAAUUCUACCCUAAGCAUGGGGUUGGCUGACCCCCUCUUUGACGGCCAACGGGAACAGAAGCUUGCAGAGGUACAUCAUCAACAAUAGGAAUUCAAAUGGCAGCAAUGGGCAAGCCCAAGUGGGGUCGGCCGACACCACCUUGGAGCCUUGGACCCACCAUUCAGCAUCCACUCAACGUCAACCUGCCUUCUAACUGGUUUGCCACUCCUACUCCCUCUCUGUUUUUUCAUUUUUAUUACUUCUGUCUCUUGUUUGCUUUAUAAGAUAAAAUAGAACAAAAAUAAAAACAAAAAGACUUGGAUCUAUGAUUUAGGACAUUAAAAGUGUGACAUGAUUCAUGACAUUAAAAGGGUAAAAGUGUCACAAAGUCUAAUUCUUGCAUAUGCUUAUACUUGUGGGUCACAUAUCAUGAUAGGAAUAUCAUAUUGACUUGGUUGUUGGCAAUUGUGAUAUAGUUCUUAGCUCAUGUUUCAUACCCUCUCUAUUCAAAGUGCUUAGAGAUUUAUUUUUGAAAAUAUCAUAAAACCAUAGUGUCACUUACUCCUUAAUAGUAAGAGAAUUCCUACCACAACCAUAUAUGUUCAUACCUUGUUCAAAACCCUUCUAUAUAUGCUACUUGUACUUGUGUUGAGUUUAGUUAAACCUUGUGACCCUAGUUGAGAAUUAUGUCAUAGUCCCAAGAUCAAGAUCAGACACACACCACAUAGAUAUGCUGCUUCUACAUUGGAAGUACGCAAAAACAUGCCAUCUAUUUCCACCAUAUGCAUGCACCAUGUUUUAAGGUUUAGAAUAUCUCUCUUUAAGUAUUGGUUAUAAGAUGAGACACAAAGGCUAUGCUUAGUAAAAAAAGUGGACACAUGAAGGUCCAUUGCUGUUGAAAAAAAGAGAAAGAAAAAAAUCUAGCCAUGUCUCAAAUAAAAAUCUAGCCAUGUCUCAAAUAAAAUCUAGCCAUGUCUCAAAUAAGGAGAUCUUGUCCGUGGAAGAAAGGAUCUUCUUGGUAUGAAUAAUUUUCAAUCUUCUUCCAUGAGCAAGUUCUAUUUAUCUUUAUAUGAUUAUGCAUAUGAACUAGAGUAUGGCUGUGUUCUUAUCAUGUUCAUAGUAUAUGAACUAGUUCUUAGUUCUUGUGCUAUGUUCUUGAUAUGUUCAUCAUUGUUCUUCAUUGUUCAUUAGAUUAGUAUGAUUAGGAUUAGAAUUAGGAAUGGGAUGAUGGUUCACUGUGCUGUUGUUGGGUAUUUCAAACGCAAACAGAAAAAUCCGCAAGCACACGGAUGCCGAUGUAGCCUUCACCCAGGAGUAUUCCUGAGUAUCGAUUUUCCACAGAGAACGUGAGUGUACUAAUUAAGAUCCAAGAUCGCCCAAGGAUAAAUAUAUAAUUAUUUUUUGGUGGGAAGAGAGGAAUUUUCCUGAGAGUUCACUAGUUGAUCUAAGAAUCAAGAAUUACUUCAAGAUUAUCUAUAUCGGGACAUCAGAGCACUAACCACAGAAAGAGAUGAGAAGGGGGCUAGGAAGGUCUGACUACGGUCCUACAAACACCGAUCCGAGCGAGGUGGAAUACGUCGACCAUUAGGGCUGUCACUACCCUAAGGCAACCACAACAAUCCAUAGGAUUGGGUGCAAUUCCAGGUAAUUGCAAGACUAAACACCACGUCUAAUCUAUUAAUUACUACUCUAAUGUUUCAAAGAUUAGAGCACUUGAUGCAAGCGGGAAUCCAAUAAAUAACUUGAAUGUAAAUAAAAGUAAUUAAAGAACUCAGGAAUUGUGAAUUGAAGAACCUGCAGAACGAUGAAGAACGAACCAGUUGCUGCAAAAGUAUAAUGUUGAGGAAGAUCCGACAGAUCCGGCUCCUCCUCCGCUCUCCUCUUCUCUCUCCCUAUUUUCUAGAUUACAACUAGAACUAACUAGAACUAGAACUAGAGGAACUAGAACUAGAACUAGAUGAACUAGAACUAGAUCUAGAUGAACUAGAGAUAUAACUAGAAGAACUAGAGGGAUCCUCUCUACUUGGAUGAAAAAUUGAAACCCUAGCUUUGAUUCUGUAGAAGAGGUAUGAUCUCUAGGGGCCAGGGGGUCUGGUUUUAUAGUCCCUUCAAGUGAAUAUGGUCCGUUGGAUCAAACCGACAUUGAUUGAACGGUUAUCCUUGAUCCUUUAGGUCGGUGGAGCAAUAUCCCGAAAGAGAGUCCUGAUUGGACUCUAUGUGAGGGCGGGCACCCAGUGCCUGGCCCCGUUCGGCCUCCGCUUCCUUCGGAUGGCUUCUGAAGUCUUCUAGAUGGUGGAAAAUUGCACGGCACGAUAAUAUCUCUAUGUAAACCCAACGUGUGGGCCUUUCUUCCAUAUUUCCUGAUAACCCUUUGCAGAAAUAGACAAACACCAAAACUUGUGGAAUUUUGUCAGAUAAAACCCUAAGUCUAGGUGUUGGUUGCAUUUGUAUCCUUUUCUAUGAUUAGUUGAUGGUUAAAUGUGAGCAUUAAGGACCGUCAACAAGCUCCUCCAAGCUUAACCUUUGCUCGUCCCUGAGCAAAGAUGAACUCAAGAGUUUCUGCAGUGGUUUCAUGCCUUAAAGGUACACAUGCGUUCAAACAAGAUCUCAUCUCUGGGUUAGGGUAAGCUGUUAAGAUUUAAACUUACUCAUUUUACCUUUCACCAUGGGGCUGGUAAUCGUCACUUCUGUGUCUUGAGCAGUUAAAAGGUAGAACGGUCUAGUCAAGCGCCAUGUCUCUUGUUCUUCAAUUAACUAUAGCUCUGGAGUUUUUGCAAAUUUUCAAAUAAAACUCAGAGAUUCCUUGUAUGACUCUCUCUAGUCUCUCUUUUGAGGUAUUUCUGGAUCCUUACCAAGGCAGUAAUAGUGUAUGCCUUCUCUCAAAGUAUGUGGUAUUUUUGGUAUAAGGCAUAGUGGCAUUGCCUUCUUUCUCACCCUACUCUAAUAAGGUUUUGAUAUCUGGAGCUCAUAGGUGGGAGACAUACUUACAAGACAUUUAUUGCAUAGUCAAACCAUGGAUCCAGAAGAACAAGUCAAUAAGUCAAAUCAAGAUGUGCAUGUGUGGCGAAUGAAUGGUGCAUGGUAAUGAUCGUGAUAACAAUAGUGAAAGUCUAAUUCUACUUAUGCUCUUAUGAGGGAAUACAUACCUUUCUUGCUCUUUUGAAACUUUUAGGGAGAAUGAGAUACUCUGUAUUUUCUUUUUCUUUCCUCUCAGGUGGGUAUCUUGUACCCCUAAUUCUACUAUCGCACACUUGUCCAUUUUUACCUCUCGUCUCACUUUUUUUUCUUUGAGGUUCCGGACACUUGCCCCUUUUUAUUUCCUUGUAUACUUUUUUCUCCCUUUUUUUAUUAGAGCACUCAUCUCCUGAAAUAUAUAGCAAGUGGUAGUAACCAAGAUAACUUGAGCAUUUAUUUCACAAGGGAAAAACAGAAAUGUUUUUGGCUAUUCUCUCCCGGAUUAGGAGUAGAAUAUUUUUGGGUGAUUCUGGAGAUGGAAAUGAGUGGAUAUAUGUGGAUGCGUACUUCCGGAGU
Molecule: long non-coding RNA, 31765 nt
Filed under: Sorghum bicolor (sorghum)
Lineage: Eukaryota; Viridiplantae; Streptophyta; Magnoliopsida; Poales; Poaceae
Description: long non-coding RNA (SBIC_LNC014437)
Rfam family: Plant small nucleolar RNA R71 (bases 9882-9988)
Source: RNAcentral